AAUGCCUCCCUUAUGCUCAGUUCCACUAACUCCACCUCCUCUUGUCUGCAAACAGCUGGCGAGUGUCCUGCACCGUCAGCGAUGACGACAAGGAAGAGAUGACUGUGCCCUCAGGAGUCCACAGUCUAGUGAAGAAGAAACAAGAGGUGAAGUGACUCACCCAAGACAAACGUCAGCUGGUGGGAGAGCCUGGAUCAGACUCAGAUCUUCAGAUUUCCAUCCCACGUGCUUUCUCCUGCACACGCCAUCGCAGAAAACUCCAAUGGGCCUUUGGGAAACGCAGAGAUCACAUUUUCUGACGAUAUCUAACCUCAGUCUGUAAUCCAAGCACCAGGGUCAUCAGAAGACAAGGGAGGGACAGUGAGAAGGGAAAGCAGUCGAGAAUUGCAAAGCGGCAACAAGAGACAGUUUCCUGACAGGUCCUUCCCAUCGACAUAUAAACUGAUGAAGUCUGUCCUGUCUGUGAUGCCCUCAACUCCACGCCCCCAAGGCAAGCGCUGUUGCCUUCACUUCACAGCCAGACUUCUGGAAGGGUCCUGAGUGCUUUUCUCCACUUGCUGACGUCUCAGCUUACAUCUGUGUCACCUCUGCCACACCAGUGUGCUCACCAAGAUCGUUCCUGAGGGUCCCACGUUGUAAAAUCCAACGGACUCUGCUUGUGGCCUCUUGGAAGCAUUUACCACUGUCACCCACUUUCUCCUCUUUUGAAACACGCUCCUGCCCUGGCGGCUAUGACGCUGUACCCCCCUGGUUUUCCUCCUUCCAUCCCGCUCCCUCUUCUCAGUCUCCUCCACCGGCUCUCCUUCCUCGGCCCAGCGCCUCCCUCGCCUCUGUCCCAGGAUCUCCUCACUCUCCUCAAGGUAGCUCAGCUGCCCCUCGGCUUCACUCACCACCUGGGGGCCAACGGCCCGCAGACCGAUGUCUCUAACCAGAGCUCUCUCUCCAGCUGCUGACUGGACAACCUUGUCUGUGUCACACAAGUUUCUCAGACUCAGAAUAACCAAACCUAAACCCAUCGUAUCCCCUCUGCCCGCUCCUGCACGCCCUCUUCCUUCUCUCUGCUAAGACACCACUGUUUGCCCAAGACAAAAAGUGACUCUGGGUUUCUCUCUGCCUCGCCCUGUUCAGUCAUUACUGAGGCCUAUCUGUCUAUUUCACUUGACUCCACGGCCGUUAUCCCCACGCAGACUGCCAGCCAUUCCCACAAUGCAGCCACAGGGGUCUUUCACGGCAAGUCCGAUCAUGCCCCUUUGAUACUUAAAACUGAUUCAGAUUUCUCACUUCUGUUAGAAAAAAGUCCAAAUCUCUGACCAGGGCUUAUCGACCAGGGCUGACCUGUAUGUUUAGCUUCUUUCUUAUCACUCCCCAUCUCGCCUGCAGCCCUCCCGACUGAACAUCCGGUCCCAGAGUGGAUAGCCUCCCCGUCUAAGGUCUUAGGUUUCCCCCUCUUCUCACACCCACGCAGUACUGUGUGCCUUCCUUCACCGCCUCCCUGCUUUCCAGAAGACGUCCCAUUACACAAACCCGCAGGGACAACUCCCAGAACAGGUGCCAAGGCCGACCUAUCACCAGAGGAACAAGAAAAGCCCACGUUUCUCCAGAAGUCCACUGAUAGAGCAAAAAAGAGAGACAGGGAGAAAGAAAAACAAGUUCCCCUCACUAGCAGAAGGUCUAGGGUCACUUUUGCUCACAAGUGGGAAAACCAAGGCCCAUGGGUCAUCAGGGCCCCUGGCUCCCCUCUCCUGGAGGUGGUCUGCAGAGAUGGGCCCAAGGCGUGGGAAGGGGUUCUACCAUCACCGAUGACAUCUCUGAUUCAUUGUGUGAUGCAAAGAGCUUUCAAGAGGGCUAGUGAGGCUGUCUUACUCAGACUUCUGGCUAAUGAGCCAUCACUGGGCCGUGACUUACCUGCUGGCAAAUAGUGAGGAGGUUAUUAUUGAAUUUUGACAAGAUUUGGGGGAACUCUAAUAAACGAGAACUCCAAAACUCACACUGGCAGUGCCCUGACCUGGGAUCUAGCCGAGCCUUCCACACCCCUUCCUACCCCAUCUGUAAGAAACCCAUGCCUGCUCUUCCUGAACCUCUGAAGCCCAGCAAACCAUGUCUUCUGAAAGAGUCACGGCUUUGCUGGCCCCUAAAGCUUCCCCAGGCCCCAGAACGACAUUCCUGGGACUUUACCAGCAUUACAGAAACAGGCUCUAGCUUGUCCUCACUCCUGGAACCUCUCCUCUUGCUAGGAUUUGCUUAAGCAGGUCAGUUAUGUCUGACCAUUGGAACUGGAAACAAAUGUCUUGGCUGAACGCAGGAGAUCAGAACUUAUCGCUCCUAGGCAUUCAAGAGGCCCUCAGUAUGUUGGCUCGGCUCCUCCAGCCAGAAAUCCCAGAACCAGAUUGUCCUCGACCUUCGGAAUCCAUUUAUGGAGUUCACAGACUACAACUCAGAAAAGCACAGAACCCACCACGACCAGUAAUGACCAAUGCCUACGGUGAGUGUCCUGAGGAUGUAGGAGGGUGUGUUCCUGCGCCUCAGGGAAGGGUCGGGAGCCCAGUGACUUUCCCACGGCGUCUCUCAGAUUGGGGUACUUCUGAGGGUACACAAGCCCACAGGAUAAACUCGGCCCAUGCCCAGGGUUCCCACUCACUCUCCUCCGCCGUCAUGAUCCUCCAGCGGAAGAGUUUAAGAGGCAGUGAGUCCAAAGGAAUAAUGUUGCUUGCUAACCCCAAAAGGCUAUUCCCACCUGCCCUUUCAGGUCCCCAUGGUUCCCACAGAACUACAGUUACGACCCACGAGUAACACGCAGACUCAGUUCCCAACAUGUCUCCAGAAUUGCCUGAGUGGGUCACGACUGCCCCAUGUGCUUAUUCAUUCUUAAGUAUCUACGAGCCAAGCAUGAUAUUAAGUAUUGGAAGUAGAGGCUGAUGUCCUGAAAUAUGCUCAGAUGUAAGUCCCCAGGCCUUUUCUGUUGCUAAAGGCUAAUGGAAGGACAUCAGGACCAAGUUAAGCUUCCGGGAGCCCUGCACGGAGACCCUGGAGGGUGGAGGGCUCCCCCUUGACAUACCCAAGGACCAGCAGCCAUGAUACCUGAGUUUCAAUUCUGAAGAAAGAUUCCUUUCCAGAUAUUUCAACACUGACUGUGAAGUAGAUAUUACCCCCGUCUUGAGGCUUGGAGAGAUUAAGCAACUAGCCCAGGGUCACACAGAUAAGCGACAAAGCUGGCUUUGGAACGUGGCCGUGUCUGGCCCUAAAGCCCACACAUGC
Molecule: non-coding RNA, 3255 nt
Organism: Equus caballus (horse)
Lineage: Eukaryota; Metazoa; Chordata; Mammalia; Perissodactyla; Equidae
Source: RefSeq, a predicted model, not a curated record